Molecule: long non-coding RNA, 356 nt
Organism: Perca fluviatilis (European perch)
Lineage: Eukaryota; Metazoa; Chordata; Actinopteri; Perciformes; Percidae
Exons: 3
Source: RefSeq, a predicted model, not a curated record
UGCUAUUGGCACUCAACAAUACAUACAUUAAAAUAUGAAUACCUAAAAGUUUAAAUUAAAAUUAUAACAGUGGUUAUCACUCAUUCAUUACUGAAACCCUACUGCUGAAGAUGGACGACUUGAAGUUGGUUUGACUACAGUAUGAGAAUGAGACAUCUGACAUAGGAGAGGAGACAAGUCAAUUGGUCUCAGCAACCCAGGAAGCAGCAUAUUUUUUUUCUCAAGCUGAAGAAACGAUCUGCUCGCUUGCACUUUUCCAUGGCUGACGGUUUCUAUGGCAACAAAAGGUGAGGAAGAGGAGGCUGGGGCAUGACAGAGCACUGUUAAGCAGACAACACAUUCGCGCCUGGGAUCCU